Bactrocera neohumeralis is the source of this 1584-nucleotide long non-coding RNA. RefSeq lists it as uncharacterized. NCBI's taxonomy places the organism in Eukaryota, Metazoa, Arthropoda, Insecta, Diptera, Tephritidae. The record is from RefSeq and is a predicted model, not a curated record. The transcript is spliced from 3 exons.
UUCAACAUGUUUUAAUAAAAAUUGGCAUGCACAUUAAAAUUUCACAACGACUUGGUGACUUCACUGUUUUUGUAUUGAUCCAGGUGAUACUUAUACAUAAAUAUGUACAUAUGUAUGUAUGUCAGUCAGCUGAAUACGAUCCAAAAAGUCAGUAUACCUUCUCGCUUAAUGAUACCUUCCACCGAAAAGGUAACACAUUAACUUCCUAUGUGUUGAAGUGAGACAAAAAGACUUAAAACGAAAAUCAAUAAAAGCGAUUUGACUGUGGAAUUUUCCCGACUUUUCCGAGCUGCACAGCCGACGUGUAUAAAUACAGCAACGCCAGUCGGCAUUCUAUCAUUUGUGUUUCAGUCGUACAGCAUAGUGUUUGAAAAUAUUAAAGAGUCAAAUUGUGAAAAAGUGUAUUGGUAGCUGAAAAAGUGUUUUAAUAGUGUGAACGAAGAAGAAAAUAGUUCUGUGGAAAUGGCUGCCGGAAAUUGGGCUUUAGUGAGGAAAUUGCAAAUACGGUUAGGCGAAGAACCGGGAGGCUAGCAGAGGCGACGUACAUAAAGAUGAGCUUUGAAAGAAAUCAAUGAGAACAAAUGAAAUCUAGGCACAGAGCCGAUUUUUGGAUGUUUUUUUCAAACACACUUGGCUGUCUAUUAGCUGUUACCGCGUACCCUAGUUACCAAUUAGGCAGGCUGAUUCGGUGAGGAAUCUAUGCUCAACAGACAGGCAGGCAGGCUUAUAACAUGGGCACCUACUUACUUAUGUGUUGGGAACAAUUGAGAGGCAGGCAUAAGACACAAUAUCGGGCAGAAAGCUGCGUUGAAAAAUGUCUGUGUAAAGUCUAGAACAUGAGUAAUCCAAUGGAUUUGGGAAAAUGAGUAAGUUGUUGGGCGUCUUUGAAAAGCAAUUUUGUCGUUUAUACUACUUCCGCUACAUGCAAACAUAAGUCUAUAACUAAAUGUUAUUGCAGUUUGCUGAAAAAAAAUGAAACACUACUCAGUUAUAAAGACAAUAAUUGACCAUAGGCGCAGAGCUCCUCGUUCGUAAUAAACUGAAGACAAAGCGAUAAGCCCAUCUACUACAAUAUCCAUAGUAUAUCUUCUUCGACAUUGUUGUUUCUUCUACUGCCAAAAAGGCCCUUGUCAUCGACGGUAGAGGAAUGUUAUGAUGCAGAAUUGGUAUUUGUUUUGUUCCACUUACUUACCUAGGAUAUACUGUUCAUAUAAAUAUAAAUAUACGUACGUUAAAAACCCCCAGUUUAGCACAAAUUGUUAAGAAACCUAACACAAAUAAUUUUUUUUUAAUAUAAAAAGCUUUGAAUUAUAUAUUUAAAAGGUUGAAAGAGUAAAUCAAAUAACUCCAUAUGUACAUGUGUCUUAAACCUACAUAAAUCAAACUUAUUGAAAUAUUGUUUUAUCGGUCUCUUAUAUAAUUAUGUUAAUACAAAAUUACUGCGUUAUUUAUCAUAUAUGACAAUACCAAUUUAUAUAAAUCAAAACCAAACACAAUGCAGAAAAAAAAACAAAAAAUAAGCUAAAAAAAAUUAAGAAAAGCAUUACAACGAAGGUAAAAAUAAAUAACUAUUCCUUCCCACUU